AGGUACUCCGGGGAUAACAGGCUGAUACCGCCCAAGAGUUCAUAUCGACGGCGGUGUUUGGCACCUCGAUGUCGGCUCAUCACAUCCUGGGGCUGAAGUAGGUCCCAAGGGUAUGGCUGUUCGCCAUUUAAAGUGGUACGCGAGCUGGGUUUAGAACGUCGUGAGACAGUUCGGUCCCUAUCUGCCGUGGGCGCUGGAGAACUGAGGGGGGCUGCUCCUAGUACGAGAGGACCGGAGUGGACGCAUCACUGGUGUUCGGGUUGUCAUGCCAAUGGCACUGCCCGGUAGCUAAAUGCGGAAGAGAUAAGUGCUGAAAGCAUCUAAGCACGAAACUUGCCCCGAGAUGAGUUCUCCCUGAGACUUUAGGUCUCCUGAAGGAACGUUGAAGACGACGACGUUGAUAGGCCGGGUGUGUAAGCGCAGCGAUGCGUUGAGCUAACCGGUACUAAUGAACCGUGAGGCUUAACCUUACA
This 473-nucleotide ribosomal RNA is filed under the name Salmonella enterica. RNAcentral's name for it is "partial 23S ribosomal RNA". It matches the Rfam family "Bacterial large subunit ribosomal RNA", at positions 2461 to 2925 of the family's 2925-position model. The record is from RNAcentral. Lineage: Bacteria; Pseudomonadati; Pseudomonadota; Gammaproteobacteria; Enterobacterales; Enterobacteriaceae.